UCGCUGCUACCGAUUGAAUGGCUUAGUGAGUUGCAAGGAUUUGUGCUAUUGUUUGUUUCGGCAUCUUUAGUGUGGAGAAUUGUUGCAAACUUGAUCAUUUAGAGGAAGCAA
RNAcentral lists this ribosomal RNA (111 nucleotides) under uncultured eukaryote. RNAcentral describes it as "partial small subunit ribosomal RNA". It matches the Rfam family "Eukaryotic small subunit ribosomal RNA", at positions 1676 to 1785 of the family's 1831-position model. The record is from RNAcentral.